RNAcentral lists this long non-coding RNA (483 nucleotides) under Androctonus crassicauda. Lineage: Eukaryota; Metazoa; Arthropoda; Arachnida; Scorpiones; Buthidae. The record is from RNAcentral.
CCCUAAAUGAAAGGCCGUCCGGCCUUUCUCGGGCCACCCUGGGCCUGGCUACAGAACGAAACUAAUAUAAAGAUACCCCAAGUACGGAACCACCCUGAGGGGUACAGUCAUCUGUGUUAAAUUAAUAAAACUAAAAAUAUAUAUCCAUAACAGUUACCCGUGGCUACAUUUCGGCGUGCACGUCGACACGCAAUCAGGCUCUUUCGACGCGAUCCUUCAGGCGGCGCUAGAUACAAGUUGCGACCGGACGCGCUCGUCGCAGGCAGGUCAGUUCUAAUCUUACCAGAAAACAUAUAUUUCUGAUGGUCUUAGGAACUGAGACCACUGCUCCUCUAUCCAUCUCCAGACGGGUCCACCCACAUGUAGAUAUGCACACAUACCUGGCGUGAUGACAUCAUUGCAGCUACUGUGUUGAAAGCAGCAGUAUGGGAGGUAAAAGGACAUUUCAUGAAUUAUAAUUACUGGGUAAAUGUAAAAUCAUGU